GGGCGGGGCUGAGGUCUCUUCAAAUCACCAUGGUUGAGUUUAGUUGUUUAGUCGGCGAGAGGUUUCCGAUGUCUCUCACAUUGAAGUAGUGUCAGUGGUCCGAUUGGAAGAUUAUAAUAGUACGAAAGGAUCGCAC
Molecule: ribosomal RNA, 136 nt
Filed under: uncultured Nitzschia
Lineage: Eukaryota; Bacillariophyta; Bacillariophyceae; Bacillariales; Bacillariaceae
Description: partial Archaeal large subunit ribosomal RNA
Source: RNAcentral